UCCGUAGGGGGUACCUGCGGAGGGAUCAUUACACAACAAAAAUAUGAGGGUGUGGUUUGCUGGCAACAGCGUCCGCCCCAAGUAUUUUUCACCCAUGUCUUUUGCGCACUUUUUGUUUCCUGGGCGAGUUCGCUCGCCACCAGGACCCAACCAUAAACCUUUUUUUAUGCAGUUGCAAUCAGCGUCAGUAUAAUAAUUCAAUUUAUUAAAACUUUCAACAACGGAUCUCUUGGUUCUGGCAUCGAUGAAGAACGCAGCGAAAUGCGAUACGUAGUGUGAAUUGCAGAAUUCAGUGAAUCAUCGAAUCUUUGAACGCACAUUGCGCCCUUUGGUAUUCCAAAGGGCAUGCCUGUUCGAGCGUCAUUUGUACCCUCAAGCUUUGCUUGGUGUUGGGCGUCUUUUUGUCUCUCCCCUUGUUGGGGGAGACUCGCCUUAAAACGAUUGGCAGCCGACCUACUGGUUUUCGGAGCGCAGCACAAAUUUGCGCCUUCCAAUCCACGGGGCGGCAUCCAGCAAGCCUUUGUUUUCUAUAACAAAUCCACAUUUUGACCUCGGAUCAGGUAGGGAUACCCGCUGAACUUAAGCAUAUCAAUAG
Molecule: ribosomal RNA, 595 nt
Filed under: Exserohilum rostratum
Lineage: Eukaryota; Fungi; Ascomycota; Dothideomycetes; Pleosporales; Pleosporaceae
Description: eukaryotic LSU rRNA
Rfam family: 5.8S ribosomal RNA (bases 210-363)
Source: RNAcentral